CCCGCUGAACUUAAGCAUAUCAAUAAGCGGAGGAAAAGAACCUAACAAGGAUUCCCCUAGUAACUGCGAGUGAAGCGGGAAAAGCUCAAAUUUAAAAUCUGGCAGCCAUUUUACGGUUGUCCGAGUUGUAAUCUAGAGAAGUGCUUUCCGCGCUGGACCGUGUACAAGUCUCUUGGAAUAGAGCAUCAUAGAGGGUGAGAAUCCCGUCUUUGACACGGACUACCAGUGCUUUAUGUGAUGCGCUCUCAAAGAGUCGAGUUGUUUGGGAAUGCAGCUCAAAAUGGGUGGUAAAUUCCAUCUAAAGCUAAAUAUUGGCGAGAGACCGAUAGCGAACAAGUACCGUGAGGGAAAGAUGAAAAGAACUUUGGAAAGAGAGUUAAACAGUACGUGAAAUUGUUGAAAGGGAAACGCUUGAAGUCAGUCACGUUGGCCAGAAAUCAACUUGUAACAGGGCGUAAUUUCUGGUUUUACGGGUCAUACAUCAAUUUUGAUUGUUGGAUAAAAGUCAAUAUUUAUGCGUUUUCGGACGUGUAGCCUUUGAUUGCAUACAAUGGUUGGGAUUGAGGAACUCAGCACGCCGCAAGUCCGGGUAACUUGUUACCACGUAACGUGCUUAGGAUGUUGGCAUAAUGGCUUUAAUCGACCCGUCUUGAAACACGG
Molecule: ribosomal RNA, 660 nt
Filed under: uncultured fungus
Lineage: Eukaryota; Fungi
Description: eukaryotic LSU rRNA
Rfam family: Eukaryotic large subunit ribosomal RNA
Source: RNAcentral